CCUGCCUUUAGAGGUACUGGUGUGGCUGCUGCAUCACACAUGUGCUCAAGGCAGCAGAGAGGAGAGUAGCCGUGUCUUCGCUCAGUGUUCUGACCUGUGAACAUCUUAAUGAUGUGUAGCCUAAUACU
Molecule: small nucleolar RNA, 128 nt
Organism: Mastomys coucha (southern multimammate mouse)
Lineage: Eukaryota; Metazoa; Chordata; Mammalia; Rodentia; Muridae
Product: small nucleolar RNA SNORA17
Exons: 1
Source: RefSeq, a predicted model, not a curated record